This 402-nucleotide ribosomal RNA is filed under the name uncultured Rhodoplanes sp. Its description in RNAcentral is "bacterial SSU rRNA". It matches the Rfam family "Bacterial small subunit ribosomal RNA", at positions 355 to 774 of the family's 1533-position model. Lineage: Bacteria; Pseudomonadati; Pseudomonadota; Alphaproteobacteria; Hyphomicrobiales; Nitrobacteraceae. The record is from RNAcentral.
UGGGGAAUAUUGGACAAUGGGCGCAAGCCUGAUCCAGCCAUGCCGCGUGGAUGAUGAAGGCCCUAGGGUUGUAAAGUCCUUUUAACGGGGAAGAUAAUGACGGUACCCGUAGAAUAAGCCCCGGCUAACUUCGUGCCAGCAGCCGCGGUAAUACGAAGGGGGCUAGCGUUGCUCGGAAUUACUGGGCGUAAAGCGCACGUAGGCGGUCUCUUAAGUCGGUGGUGAAAUCCUGGAGCUCAACUCCAGAACUGCCUUCGAUACUGGGGGACUCGAGUCCGGGAGAGGUGAGUGGAACUGCGAGUGUAGAGGUGAAAUUCGUAGAUAUUCGCAAGAACACCAGUGGCGAAGGCGGCUCACUGGCCCGGUACUGACGCUGAGGUGCGAAAGCGUGGGGAGCAAACA